Small nucleolar RNA from Pongo abelii (Sumatran orangutan), 133 nucleotides. Lineage: Eukaryota; Metazoa; Chordata; Mammalia; Primates; Hominidae. The record is from Ensembl.
AGCCUCUUUCUAGAUGAGAAUUGGCACUGUCGAUCAUGGUGUCUGAAAAUUGUAAGUAGCUAGAUUGAAACACGGGUUAUGCUUCCAUAACAGUAUAUGUAUUACAGUGGUAACAAUGAAACCUGUAACAUUU